AGUUUCUCCUCUUCCCAAUUACGCGGCGCUCCCCCGACUAUAUAAAGCAAUCUCAUUCAGCAGAUGUGUCGUCUGACACUGAAGUGUCUUCCCAUUUGUUAAGCACGCGUUUAUUACUUUUACUUAAAUUCUUUUCAAAUGGCAGUUAUAAGACCGAUUUUAAGUAGAGUUCAUACGAUAGUAAAUCCCUCUACUUCGCUAGUUCUGAGACAUUAUAAUAAAUCAAGUUCAGUACUUGGAAGGUUUGGUAAGGCUCGGCCGCCGGUUGCUCAAAAGCACUUGUUUCUUAAGGACGAAAAUGCAAGAGACUUCAUAUACACACUAAAGCCGAACGAACGGAAAAUCUUGUUAACGGAGCUUACUAAAUUCGAAGAGGAAAGAUUAAAAACAUUAGAUAUCGAUGGCCCGCCUGCAUUAACAUCUUCACAAAUCCGAAUGUUAUUUAUACACAAUGCUCUUCCAUUUGUUGGCUUUGGAUUCUUGGACAAUGUUUUAAUGAUAGUUGCGGGAGAAUAUAUUGAUGCAACUUUUGGUUCCUUACUUGGUAUCUCUACAAUGGCUGCUGCAGGUCUUGGGAACAUGGUUUCAGAUGUUGCAGGAAUUGGGUCUGCUUGGUAUGUUGAAGUAUUGGCGGUUAGGGUUGGUUUUCACAUGCCCACUUUAACCCCUCAACAAGUGGAUAUGAGAAAAACACGUUGGAUUGCUAACUUGGGCAAAGUGAUUGGCAUUACAGUUGGAUGCUUGAUAGGAAUGUUUCCUCUACUGUUCUUUAACUACGACAAGCAUAAUGAAUCACAAGAAAGUCCAGCAGAACCUGCCGCUGAUACAGAAAAGAGCUAGAUAGAGCAAGAUGGUUAGAAAAUUUUAUCUCUGCUCAGCAUUUAUUUUUUAUUGAGACAAACAACUUGUGAAUUCUUGGGAAUUUCUGAGGGAGGGGGAAUAUACAAGAAAAAAAAAACCCAUAAAAAUAUUAUUAAAUAGAAAGAAAAGAUACUUGUUUCUAUUUUUUAAUGAUGAAGUGGCCUUUUGAGAUGUUUGUGGAAAGUCAUAAAAUUUUAUUUAAUGCCUAAUGAUUUUUAAUUUAUAUACACCAAUCUGUGUUUUGCCUCAGUAAUUUUAAAUACUCAGUUGCUUUUGGUGUGCAUUAUAAAUUAUACUUUAUUUUAAAAUAUCUUGUUUUUACUAGAUUUAAGAGAUCUGAAUUAUAAUUCUUUAAAUUUGUUACAUAUUUUUUUCAAUUUGACACUCUUUUAAAUUUUAGCUUUGUUUAAAUAAUUUCUUACAAUACUUUUGUUGUUAUUUUAUUACAUUAGUAUUGUUGGCAUUAUAUUGUCUAAUUUGUUUGUUUUUAGAAUUCACACUGUUACGUUCUUAUUGUAGUAAAUUUUACUGUAAAAGAAAAUCCAAUUUCUAAUUAAAGAAAUGCUUUCCCUGCCACCCUAAAAAUGUAAUGUUGUGAGUGAUGAUCCAACCAGGUUGGAUCGAUUUCCCAAAAAAUUUCUUAUGCACAUGUGUUACUUAAAAAAUAUCUACCAGUCUGUUUUUUCCUAUCUGUAUGGUUAUGUAUGUGUGUGUAUGCAUGUGUAGACAAUGAACAAUAUGAAAGGAAAUGCAUUACUGAAAGUAUUUUUCUCUUUCAUGAGAUUCCUUACUGCUGGUGACAUACAGUGAUUUGUAUAAAGUAACUAUCUUUCCAAAAUUUGAACUUCCUAAAACCACUCACAAUUAUUUUGCAAAUCAUUGCUAUAAAGUUGACAUUUUUUUUCAUUAAGCAGUGUAAUUGAACCUGCAUUUGUACAGGUGUAUGAGAAAUUCAGAGUAUUGAUAGUGAAGCCUCUGCUUCAAAAAAACAAAACAAAAAAACUUCAUGUUACGUCCGUUUUGCCAUGAUGGUAUGGGUUGGAUGGGUCCUCAGUCUUUUGUCUUCUAGCACAAACAGCAACAGAUAAAACCACUGAGCCUUGUUGUUUUGUAUGUCAUAUUUUUUGGCACGAUUUUUAUGGCUGGAUUUCUUUCCUAUCCCAAAUCACUUUACAACAUGAACGGGUGUAUUUUAUUGUGCCACUGGCACUGGAGGAGUUGUCUGUGGCAGGACUAAAGAGACCCUCUACCCUGUAUCAGUUUUUAUUCAGAAUUAUUAUCUCUUAGAUGGGUUGCCUUCACUGUGGCUUGUGGAGUUCACAUUUCUUUUUUUUAUGGCAUAGUUUUUAUGGCUCAAUUCCCUUCUUAUUGCCAACCACUUUACUGAUGGUCUGGGUGCAUUUUAUUGUGCUGCCAGCACUAGAGGUUGUCUGCAGCAACACUAAGGAGUCCUCUCUAAACUGUAUCAAUUUUUAUUCAGUUACUGCCCCCAAGAUGGGUUUUCUUUGGUGCAGCUUGCAGAUUCUGUAUUGCCUCUAUGCAAUAGGGGUGGAACCUCUUAUUGUAUAAUGUUGGGUUUGUUCAGACUCACACAUACCCACAUACUCAGCUUCCAUAUAUAUAUAUAUAUAUAUAUAUAUAUAUGACACACAAGUACAAAACUUUCUCAUCAGUUAAUAAUGCAUUUAUUACAAAGAUCCAUUACAGCAUGUUAUAAUGCUGAACAGGAAAAAAAGGAAAAGCAAGCUAAAUAGUUGAUCAUGCUGUCAUUUUCUUUACAAUUCCACAAAAUGUUAGAUUAACUGUAGAAGCUUUAUUACUAGCAAAAUAAAAAACAAAAAUUAUCACAAACACCACACAUGAAGUAAACUAAAAGCAAUGAGGAAUUAAUGGUUAAACAGUUUUUAAAUUUGGCAAUGGUGAUUUUAUGAAUUACAUCAUUCUCAUAAUCCCUUGCUGCCUGUUACAAAAUGCAACAACAAUGUGCCAAUAUCAUUUUAUUCAAAAGCUGAAAAAAUUUUGAAAUGUUAAUGAACCAAGAAACAUUCUAAGAUAAAUAUAAAGGAAAAAUAAUGUAACAUUAAAAAAAUAUCUUCAGUAUAAAAGAUUAAACUUGAACACAUUUGUGUCUUCAAUAUGUUUGAAGGAAAAGCUGUUCACAUACACACACACUCUCUCUUUCUUUCUUUCUUUCUUUCUUUCUGUAUCAGAGUAACCAACUGUUUCAUUUAGAUAAAGAGUGGUUGAAAGAACACAAGAAAUACUAUCAAACUGGUGAAAAGGGCUGUACAAUAUAGAUAUCUUUGCACUUAAUUUUUCUCUUAAGUCAUCAUUGUUAAAUCUCCAUUAGUGGACACUUCAAUCAUUUCAGUAAAUAAAUAUAAAGUGCAAAUUAACAUUUUUAUUAACAAGUUUUUUAAAAGAAUUUUUAUUUAAAUUUAUUCAAUGUGAAACAUUUCUUCCUUUUUAUCAAAUUCAAUGUCCUUCAGUGCUUCUUUUUUUUGGAGCUUUUAUUCCACCAUAUGAUUUCAAAAAGUAAAUCAAGAAUGUACUCAAGAUACACAGCAUAGAAAGUCUUAUUUAUUUAUACCUAAUUCACUGCAUUGUCAGUAAGAUUAAUGAGUGACUGUCUUUGCUACUCAAGCAGAACAAAUACUGUAUAUGGUAUAAUUAUUUGAAAGUAUAGAUAUUUUUUUGUUCCUUUGAUGUUUACAUCUUUUAUCCAGUUAUAUUGGUGAGAUAUGUAUAUCAUCAUCAUUGUUUAAUGCCUGCCUUCCAUGUUGGCAUGGGUGCGACAUAUACAUAUAUACUAAAUAAGAAGAAGACAAAGAAAAUUCUUAAACACAUCUUUAAUGAUUUGUUACAAUUGUUUCUGUAUCCACUCGAUUUAUGCAAAAACCCAAAGAGAAAAUUUACGUAAUGUUUGCAGCUUUAAAACUGUGUUAAAGAAUUUUCUUUGUCUUCUUUUUAUCUUUUGAAUUAUUUACUCUUCACCAAAUUCACUUUAUGGUAUGAUCGUUGUGAAACUUGGAUUUUCUACUCCUGAGGAAUUCUGGCAUUGGCCUGAAACCCGACAAUGUUGAUAACCCAGUAUUUGGGUCAAGUGCUUUUCUGGAAAUACCCUAACUUUACACUCUACCAGGACCUUAGACUAUGUAUAUAUAUGUAUGUAUAUUAUCCAAUGACAUCCAACAUGGUUUCCAUCUACUAAAUUCCAUUACAGGGCAUUGGUAAAGCUGUUUUGUGAAAGAUACUUGCUCAAGAUAUCACAUAUUAAGACUGAAACGAGAACCAUGUGAUUGUAAUGCCUGUGUCUUGAUAUUUUGUUUGUAAAUAAUUUAUUAAAGAACAAAAUAUCUCACUUGUUAAGGUUUGUGAAUACAAAUGAAAACCAUAAAUGUGUAGUAGCAAUGGAUGGCCAAAUUACAGAAUUGGUGCAUAUUUUAUAUGUUGGAAUUCCGUUGUGGUUGAUUUUGGUUUUCAAGGUGGCAGAAUUGUUAGCAUGUUGGGCAAAAUGUUUAGCCACAUUUUCUUGAAACUCUAAUAAUUGCUAUUUUUCUUUGUCUUCCUUUGCACUUCAUUUCAUUUGUUUCUUCAACUAUUGCAAGCUUCCUUAUGCUUCUUGCUUAAGGGAAAUAUGCCAUUGGGAAUCUUUAGCUUGUUGUGACCUUCUUAAAAUUGAUACACCAUUCUGCUAACUUCUGAAUUCAAUCUUUUAUACAACACCAUCUGUUCUCAGUUCAUUAAACUAUAGAAACCUCUGACAUAUUGUACUGCUCGACCAUCAGGUAUAUGAAAUUUUAGUCAGCACAGGGUUUCAACAUCAGCCUUGUAUGUUAGGCAACUCAUCCUGUUUUACUUGUUACAACUGUUGAUAUGAUCAUCCAAUAAUGAUGAUUUCUAUUUUCCUGAAACAAACAGAUAAUCUGUUUGAUCAGAUUAUCUAUCCAUUAGAUCUCCAUGUGUCUAGAUUAAUGCAUUUAAUCUGAUAAUGAAUGUUAGAUUAUGACAAAAAGCAUAAUAUUUUUCUGUAAUUUCACUAAACUUUGUGCCAUUCCUUUUCUCAUAUCUACCAUUUCAUGUUUA
Molecule: RNA transcript, 4947 nt
Organism: Octopus sinensis (East Asian common octopus)
Lineage: Eukaryota; Metazoa; Mollusca; Cephalopoda; Octopoda; Octopodidae
Gene name: transmembrane protein 65-like
Exons: 7
Source: RefSeq, a predicted model, not a curated record